Molecule: long non-coding RNA, 1067 nt
Filed under: Phoenix dactylifera (date palm)
Lineage: Eukaryota; Viridiplantae; Streptophyta; Magnoliopsida; Arecales; Arecaceae
Description: long non-coding RNA (PDAC_LNC001795)
Source: RNAcentral
UGGGACUCCCUGGCCUUCCAAAAAUCAUCACAUUUGUUACCUGGUAACCACAUUUUACAACAGAAAAGAUGAAGAAAAUAUGGGAGGUGAUGAGAGCAGAGAAAUGUAUGACAUGAGGUCUACUUUUCUUGCUUGGCUGUCAAAUUCUGGGAAGAUUGGAGGAUUGAUGAUAUACUGCACUUCUAUUGGUUGUACCAGUAGGCUGCGAGAACUUUCAAUUUUGAGACACGGGAUAAUCGCCAAACCUUUCAAAUGUUCGUCUAGAGAAAAUAUAAGUUUCUUGCAGACUUCUCCUUCUUCCUUUCUUCAAGAAAUACAGACAUAUGUUCCACUUAUAAAACAAAGAUGGACUUACUUCACAAAAACCUCCUCUCAGAUUCCAUGAAUGCCCAAUUUCGCAGGACCCAGCAACAAUCCCCUUCAAGGAUGAGUAUGGCCUGGUGUGAUUUUCCUUCAGUGGAUAUCACAUGUUUUGCUCCACGAAAGUUUCAUCAGCACUGAUACUUGGGAUAAUCGGUUGUCGCUGGAGAAUCGCAGGGAAUCUCAAGUUGGUAGGUGCGUUACAUCUCGCAAGAAUUUUGCUUGUCGAAUUCAAAACCACUCACUGAAGCAGAGAUUCAAAACCAGAAGGCAUGACCACAAGUUGUCCUUCAUUACACAAGCAGAGAUUAAAACAAGCUUUCUGAACAUUUACCCUCUAUGCAUGCAUGCAGCUGAGAUAUGUACCUGUAAUAUUUAUGAUGGCCACCUUAAUGUCAUGGCAUCAAAACCAUAGAGUCAAGCCUCACCAAUCGUCUCCAGAUGGGUGCAGGUGUUGAUAGGAUGCUGGUUAUAGUUGUGUAAAGCUGCUGAAGCUUAGCAAUCAGAACAACUAAUUGCCGGCAUGGUGGAAUUAUGAGGGUGAAAGGUAUGAUGCAGAUACCCAAUUGCAAUAUGAACAUCUCACAAACUCUUCCUGCUUGAGAUUUAGCAGCUGCAGGAUUCAAUAAUUCUUUGCCAACGGUCUGUUAUAUUUAUAACCUUCUUGUUUCCAAGAGCUGAUACAUCCUAGGAUGCUUUUACUUAUU